Molecule: ribosomal RNA, 253 nt
Filed under: uncultured bacterium
Lineage: Bacteria
Description: partial 16S ribosomal RNA
Rfam family: Bacterial small subunit ribosomal RNA
Source: RNAcentral
UACGUAGGGUCCGAGCGUUGUCCGGAAUUAUUGGGCGUAAAGGGCUCGUAGGCGGUUUGUCGCGUCGGGAGUGAAAACCUACAGCUUAACUGUGGGCUUGCUUUCGAUACGGGCAGACUUGAGGCAUGCAGGGGAGAACGGAAUUCCUGGUGUAGCGGUGAAAUGCGCAGAUAUCGGGAGGAACACCAAUGGCGAAGGCAGCUCGCUGGGACGUUACUGACGCUGAGACGCGAAAGCGUGGGGAGCAAACAGG